Long non-coding RNA from Capsicum annuum, 2672 nucleotides. RefSeq lists it as uncharacterized. The transcript is spliced from 3 exons. Lineage: Eukaryota; Viridiplantae; Streptophyta; Magnoliopsida; Solanales; Solanaceae. The record is from RefSeq and is a predicted model, not a curated record.
UUAAAUUUUUAUUGUAAAACUAUGAUCAAAUAUCAUUCCACCUCCAAACUGAAAAUUUUCAAAUAAAAUAAUUUUAUUUUAUUAAACUGUCUAAGCACUUAUUCAGAUACUCAACUUUAUCUAUAUUAUAGAAAGAGGGUUUCAACAUGGCCUGCUUCUAGCCAUUAUUAACAAAGUUUAAGGGCAAUUUCAUCAUUGAAAAUUAUCAUACAUGGCUUGCAAUCAAUCCUAAGUUCUACGUGUUCGUUUCAUAGUACUCCAUCAUAAGCCGACAUGAGUGCUUAACUAAUUGAGUUCGUUUGACUGCUUCUCCGAGCAAAUUUCUGAUAAUCUUCAGAAGAGAUGCUUUCCUCUUCAAAAGUAAAAAAAGAGGAAAUAUGGAGUGCUACAUUUCCUUUGCUUUGCUAUUGCUUUUCCUCUGUUUGCUUGGCUUCUCUGUUUUUUUAUCGCUUUGAUUAUUCAAAAGUUAGAUUAGAGUAAUCAAGUUAGAUAUUUGGGAGAUUCUUGAGACGUGAAAUUGUAUUUUGACCUUCUAUUUUCAAGUUUGAUUUUUGCUCUAUGCAAGGUAACACCAUAGUUUGAAGUUAGUUUUAUGAUCUGUUUAAUACCGCAUAGCAUGACGAUGCGGUGUUGUUUUUAUUAUUUGAUGAUUUUUCUAUAGCGGUGUACCGUGUACGGGUUGUUAUUUCUCUAUGAUUUGCCAUUCAUGUUUUUACAUUGAUAUGAUUAGGUUUCAUAGAUUUAGGACCCCUUUGCUUAAGUGAAUAAAGUGGAGAAAAGAACAUGAAAAAAAUGUCUUUGCUACUAUUUUGUGGCUGAUAUUGGAUGUCUUCUCAUAUUUUCAGUUGUUUUUUCAUAUUAUUACUGUAGUUUUCAAGUGUUUAUUUUAGGUUUAUUGACCAAAAGAAAACCUAUUUAGAAGUCUAUCGGACAACCUUAGUUGUUUUGGAGCAUUUUCUUGUAUGUUUUACUUCAAGGCUGCAUAAGUUGUAGGAAGACAUAUGUGUCGAUUGUGCAAGAUGUGCAAUAUAUUUUGCUUUCCCCUCAUGAUGUUUCCCUUGGAAACAACUGAUAACUAACUUUAAUAAUUAGUCGGUUCUUGAAUGGUGCUUAACAUAAUUUCAGUGAAAAGGUCUGAAUUCUUUAAACUUCCUUAAUUCAUAGGGUAUUUUAUAAGCUGUUAGAAACUAAAGGAAUGUCUCAAUAUAUAGCAUUUUAGUUCUAUAUGUUGGUAGACAUUUGCACGCCGCACACUUUUUUUUUUGUAAUUCUGGAGAGCUGUUUGAAUGAGAUUUUAUCGGUGAUUGAAGUGACGAGAGUUGUAACAAACUCUUAAAUCUCGAACCCCAAAGGAAAUCCACUCCAUUGUUGGCCUGUGGUUGAGUUGUGGUUAGAUUUCAACGAUGGAGGAGAAGGGGAUGCAAAAUAUCACAAAUAUGUUAUGGAUAGUCAUACAACCCAUUUAAACAAUUUGUUUUAGUACUAAUUAAAUGGGUCAAAAUGGUAACAAGGAUAAACAUGUUUUUGACUUGGAAUUCUAUUUAGGGAUAGUGCCAAAAGUUAAAACUUGGUACUUAAAUCCUUAAAUGUUUAGACACAAAUGGGCUUGAAUUAUAGAUUUUGAACAUGUCUGAUUUAUGCAUUUUCUUAUUUUAGUUCGACUAUACAAGAUAAAAUUUCAGCCCACACAUGAUCAGUUUUUAAAAAAUCUUGCAGGAUAUCCUCAUUCGUGAACAAAAAGGACAAAACGAUCACAUUCAUAAACAGGUCCGAUUUGUGUUAUGUAUAAGAUCCUUUUUCAAGGAUUGUUUGUUAUGCCUUCAACUUUGAUUUCGACGGAUACUGAAUCUUGUGCUUAGAUGGAUGACAUAGCAACUUCAUUGAUGAACAGAACAACAACGACACCCCUCUUCGCUAGAGCCAUCCAAAAGUCUAUUGAUUCUCAAUUUUGGUAUAGCCUCAAGAAUGUGUAUUGCUUAUCUUAUGGAAUGUUUGAAAAUUAUUGUCUUUGCGUUACAAUAUUUUUUUGACAUACCAAAGAUAACCCGACAUCUUGAAAAAUCUUCAUUUUUCUUCAAUUUCUUCAGUUUUAUGAGCUAAAAAUGAACUAUGUUUUCAUCAAACCAGCUUUCGGGUUCGAGUUUUAGAGAAUCCAUAAUAACCAUUGGAAGUUGAUGCUCAGAUCUUUGUAAAGAGCCGAAAACUGAGGAAGAAUGCUAAAGGUUAGGAGAUCGGUGAAGAAACGUGUCACUCAAUAGGCUUCUCAAGAGGACAAGAUUGGUAGAGCACCGGCUUGCAGAUUAAUUUUCUGACCAAACAUUUCUUGUAAAUGUGCUAUCUUUUGUUGUUCGAAUGAUCAACUCCUAUUGGGGAACCCAGCAAUGGAUCGACCUUGCCCGGCUUACAGGAUUGCAGGCUUGGAAGAGUCAGCAAGUUUCUGAUCUUCCUCCAGAUUCUGCAAAUCCAGCUGCAGUCGGUUGCAAUACAUCAGAAGAUACCAAUACUGAUGAAAUCAACAGUCAAUAGUAGCACUUACUUAUCUUCUCUACUUUCUAGCAUUACUUGUAAGCAGCAGUUUUGAUUCUCUUGCUGUAUACCAUUCACUUUUUAGCUUGUCAAUAUACACAGUUGAUAAAUUUUGAUACUCGUUUAAUAAAAAAUUAUUUUUCGAA